UUUUAUCAGCUCACUAUUAUUUCUUUCUAUCUGCUCCAAUUGGUAUCUCAGCAAGUCUAUUUUUUUUCUCACCGCUGCAAGCUCCAAUGCCGAAGCAUCAAGGGUGGAACCAUGGAAACUAGCUAAGUAACGCCCCACUUAUGCAAAAUCUUAUAAAUAAGCAUUAAAAUGUUGCAAGUUGUAAGGGGCUGAAAGAAGAUGCCCAAAGACUCCACCUGGGUGAGAGAUUUGAGAGCACCCAACAUAUGCUAUUGGACUCCUUGUUCGUCCAAAAGUUGCCUCUCAGAUGGAGAAAGAAAGUCCUUUAGAAGUCCAACCGUAGCUUGGAGGUCCU
This 334-nucleotide long non-coding RNA is filed under the name Elaeis guineensis (African oil palm). RNAcentral's name for it is "long non-coding RNA (EGUI_LNC010232)". Lineage: Eukaryota; Viridiplantae; Streptophyta; Magnoliopsida; Arecales; Arecaceae. The record is from RNAcentral.